Molecule: ribosomal RNA, 604 nt
Filed under: Dermacoccus sp. CMT48
Lineage: Bacteria; Bacillati; Actinomycetota; Actinomycetes; Micrococcales; Dermacoccaceae
Description: bacterial SSU rRNA
Rfam family: Bacterial small subunit ribosomal RNA
Source: RNAcentral
GGCGACGACGGGUAGCCGGCCUGAGAGGGCGACCGGCCACACUGGGACUGAGACACGGCCCAGACUCCWACGGGAGGCAGCAGUGGGGAAUAUUGCACAAUGGGCGAAAGCCKGAUGCAGCGACGCCGCGUGAGGGAUGACGGCCUUCGGGUUGUAAACCUCUUUCACCAGGGACGAAGCUAACGUGACGGUACCUGGAGAAGAAGCACCGGCUAACUACGUGCCAGCAGCCGCGGUAAUACGUAGGGUGCGAGCGUUGUCCGGAAUUAUUGGGCGUAAAGAGCUUGUAGGCGGUCUGUCGCGUCUGCUGUGAAAGACCGGGGCUUAACUCCGGUUCUGCAGUGGGUACGGGCAGACUAGAGUGUGGUAGGGGAGACUGGAAUUCCUGGUGUAGCGGUGAAAUGCGCAGAUAUCAGGAGGAACACCGAUGGCGAAGGCAGGUCUCUGGGCCAUUACUGACGCUGAGAAGCGAAAGCAUGGGGAGCGAACAGGAUUAGAUACCCUGGUAGUCCAUGCCGUAAACGUUGGGCGCUAGGUGUGGGACUCAUUCCACGAGUUCCGUGCCGCAGCUAACGCAUUAAGCGCCCCGCCUGGGGGAGUACGG